GACGGAGGGUGCUAGCGUUGUUCGGAAUGACUGGGCGUAAAGGGCUCGUAGGCGGCCAACUAAGUCGGACGUGAAAUCCCUCAGCUUAACUGGGGAACUGCGUCCGAUACUGGAUGGCUUGGAUUUGGGAGAGGGAUGCGGAAUUCCAGGUGUAGCGGUGAAAUGCGUAGAUAUCUGGAGGAACACCGGUGGCGAAGGCGGCAUCCUGGACCAAUAUUGACGCUGAGGAGCGAAAGCCAGGGGAGCAAACGGG
RNAcentral lists this ribosomal RNA (253 nucleotides) under uncultured bacterium. Its description in RNAcentral is "partial 16S ribosomal RNA". It matches the Rfam family "Bacterial small subunit ribosomal RNA", at positions 524 to 776 of the family's 1533-position model. The record is from RNAcentral.